This is a long non-coding RNA of Oncorhynchus keta (chum salmon), 1395 nucleotides long. RefSeq lists it as uncharacterized. NCBI's taxonomy places the organism in Eukaryota, Metazoa, Chordata, Actinopteri, Salmoniformes, Salmonidae. The transcript is spliced from 3 exons. The record is from RefSeq and is a predicted model, not a curated record.
GUCUAUAGGUCUACUUCUAUGUGUAAUCAGGGCCAGGUAGUCUAUAGGUCUACUUCUAUGUGUAAUCAGGUAGUCUAUAGGUCUACUUCUAUGUGUAAUCAGGUAGUCUAUAGGUCUACUUCUAUGUGUAAUCAGGUAGUCUAUAGGUCUACUUCUAUGUGUAAUCAGGUAGUCUAUAGGUCUACUUCUAUGUGUAAUCAGGUAGUCUAUAGGUCUACUUCUAUGUGUAAUCAGGUAGUCUAUAGGUCUACUUCUAUGUGUAAUCAGGUAGUCUAUAGGUCUACUUCUAUGUGUAAUCAGGUAGUCUAUAGGUCUACUUCUAUGUGUAAUCAGGUAGUCUAUAGGUCUACUUCUAUGUGUAAUCAGGUAGUCUAUAGGUCUACUUCUAUGUGUAAUCAGGUAGUCUAUAGGUCUACUUCUAUGUGUAAUCAGGGCCAUGUGGUCUAUAGGUCUACUUCUAUGUGUAAUCAGGUAGUCUAUAGGUCUACUUCUAUGUGUAAUCAGGUAGUCUAUAGGUCUACUUCUAUGUGUAAUCAGGUAGUCUAUAGGUCUACUUCUAUGUGUAAUCAGGUAGUCUAUAGGUCUACUUCUGUGUAAUCAGGGCCAGGUAGUCUAUAGGUCUACUUCUAUGUGUAAUCAGGUAGUCUAUAGGUCUACUUCUAUGUGUAAUCAGGUAGUCUAUAGGUCUACUUCUAUGUGUAAUCAGGUAGUCUAUAGGUAUACUUCUAUGUGUAAUCAGGUAGUCUAUAGGUCUACUUCUGUGUAAUCAGGGCCAGGUAGUCUAUAGGUCUACUUCUAUGUGUAAUCAGGUAGUCUAUAGGUCUACUUCUGUGUAAUCAGGGCCAGGUAGUCUAUAGGUCUACUUCUAUGUGUAAUCAGGUAGUCUAUAGGUCUACUUCUAUGUGUAAUCAGGUAGUCUAUAGGUCUACUUCUGUGUAAUCAGGGCCAGGUAGUCUAUAGGUCUACUUCUAUGUGUAAUCAGGUAGUCUAUAGGUCUACUUCUAUGUGUAAUCAGGUAGUCUAUAGGUCUACUUCUAUGUGUAAUCAGGUAGUCUAUAGGUCUACUUCCAUGUGUAAUCAGGUAGUCUAUAGGUCUACUUCUAUGUGUAAUCAGGUAGUCUAUAGGUCUACUUCUAUGUGUAAUCAGGUAGUCUAUAGGUCUACUUCCAUGUGUAAUCAGGUAGUCUAUAGGUCUACUUCCAUGUGUAAUCAGGUAGUCUAUAGGUCUACUUCCAUGUGUAAUCAGGUAGUCUAUAGGUCUACUUCCAUGUGUAAUCAGGUAGUCUAUAGGUCUACUUCCAUGUGUAAUCAGGUAGUCUAUAGGUCUACUUCUAUGUGUAAUCAGGUAGUCUAUAGGUCUACUUCUAUGUGUAAUCAGGUAGUCUAUAGGUCUAC